ACGUAGGUGGCGAGCGUUGUCCGGAAUUACUGGGCGUAAAGGGCGCGUAGGCGGUUUUUUAAGUUAGAUGUGAAAACCCAGGGCUUAACUUUGGGCGUGCAUUUAAAACUGGAGAACUUGAGUGCAGGAGAGGUAAGUGGAAUUCCUAGUGUAGGGGUGAAAUGCGGAGAUAUUAGGAGGAGCACCAGUGGCGAAGGCGACUCACUGGACUGUAACUGACGCUGAGGCGCGAAAGCGUGGGGAGCAAACAG
RNAcentral lists this ribosomal RNA (251 nucleotides) under uncultured prokaryote. RNAcentral describes it as "partial 16S rRNA". It matches the Rfam family "Bacterial small subunit ribosomal RNA", at positions 525 to 775 of the family's 1533-position model. The record is from RNAcentral.